This 423-nucleotide ribosomal RNA is filed under the name uncultured bacterium. RNAcentral describes it as "bacterial SSU rRNA". It matches the Rfam family "Bacterial small subunit ribosomal RNA", at positions 355 to 775 of the family's 1533-position model. The record is from RNAcentral.
UAAGGAAUAUUGGUCAAUGGAGGCAACUCUGAACCAGCCAUGCCGCGUGCAGGAAGACGGCCCUAUGGGUUGUAAACUGCUUUUAUACGGGAAUAAACCUCUCUUCGUGAAGAGAGCUGAAUGUACUGUAAGAAUAAGGAUCGGCUAACUCCGUGCCAGCAGCCGCGGUAAUACGGAGGAUCCAAGCGUUAUCCGGAUUUAUUGGGUUUAAAGGGUGCGUAGGCGGCUUAUUAAGUCAGGGGUGAAAGACGGUGGCUCAACCAUCGCAGUGCCUUUGAUACUGAUGAGCUUGAAUACACUUGAGGUAGGCGGAAUGUGACAAGUAGCGGUGAAAUGCAUAGAUAUGUCACAGAACACCAAUUGCGAAGGCAGCUUACUAAGGUGCAAUUGACGCUGAGGCACGAAAGCGUGGGGAUCAAACAG